UGGGGAAUAUUGGACAAUGGGCGCAAGCCUGAUCCAGCCAUGCCGCGUGUGUGAAGAAGGCCUUUUGGUUGUAAAGCACUUUAAGCGAGGAGGAGGCUACUUGGAUUAAUACUCUAGGAUAGUGGACGUUACUCGCAGAAUAAGCACCGGCUAACUCUGUGCCAGCAGCCGCGGUAAUACAGAGGGUGCGAGCGUUAAUCGGAUUUACUGGGCGUAAAGCGUGCGUAGGCGGCUUCUUAAGUCGGAUGUGAAAUCCCUGAGCUUAACUUAGGAAUUGCAUUCGAUACUGGGAAGCUAGAGUAUGGGAGAGGAUGGUAGAAUUCCAGGUGUAGCGGUGAAAUGCGUAGAGAUCUGGAGGAAUACCGAUGGCGAAGGCAGCCAUCUGGCCUAAUACUGACGCUGAGGUACGAGAGCAUGGGGAGCAAACAGG
Molecule: ribosomal RNA, 430 nt
Filed under: bacterium
Lineage: Bacteria
Description: partial 16S ribosomal RNA
Rfam family: Bacterial small subunit ribosomal RNA
Source: RNAcentral